UUCCGUAGGUGAACCUGCGGAAGGAUCAUUACCGAGUGAGGGCCCUCUGGGUCACCUCCCACCCGUGUUUAUUUUACCUUGUUGCUUCGGCGGGCCCGCCUUAACUGGCCGCCGGGGGGCUUACGCCCCCGGGCCCGCGCCCGCCGAAGACACCCUCGAACUCUGUCUGAAGAUUGUAGUCUGAGUGAAAAUAUAAAUUAUUUAAAACUUUCAACAACGGAUCUCUUGGUUCCGGCAUCGAUGAAGAACGCAGCGAAAUGCGAUACGUAAUGUGAAUUGCAAAUUCAGUGAAUCAUCGAGUCUUUGAACGCACAUUGCGCCCCCUGGUAUUCCGGGGGGCAUGCCUGUCCGAGCGUCAUUGCUGCCCUCAAGCACGGCUUGUGUGUUGGGCCCCGUCCUCCGAUCCCGGGGGACGGGCCCGAAAGGCAGCGGCGGCACCGCGUCCGGUCCUCGAGCGUAUGGGGCUUUGUCACCCGCUCUGUAGGCCCGGCCGGCGCUUGCCGAUCAACCCAAAUUUUUAUCCAGGUGACCUCGAUCAGGUAGGGAUACCCGCUGAACUUAAGCAUAUCAAUAAGCGGAGAUCAUUACCGAGUGAGGGCCUCUGGGUCAACCUCCCACCCUUGUUUAUUUUACCUUGUUGCUUCGCGGGCCGCCUUAACUGGCCGCCGGGGGCUUACGCCCCG
RNAcentral lists this ribosomal RNA (683 nucleotides) under Penicillium chrysogenum. RNAcentral describes it as "eukaryotic LSU rRNA". The stretch from base 206 to 358 matches the Rfam family "5.8S ribosomal RNA". The record is from RNAcentral. Lineage: Eukaryota; Fungi; Ascomycota; Eurotiomycetes; Eurotiales; Aspergillaceae.